Molecule: unclassified non-coding RNA, 146 nt
Organism: Pongo abelii (Sumatran orangutan)
Lineage: Eukaryota; Metazoa; Chordata; Mammalia; Primates; Hominidae
Rfam family: Metazoan signal recognition particle RNA
About the family: The signal recognition particle (SRP) is a universally conserved ribonucleoprotein. It is involved in the co-translational targeting of proteins to membranes.
Source: Ensembl
GCCAGGCGUGGUGGUGCACGCCUGUAGUCCUAGCCACUUGGGAGGCUGAGGCAGGAGAAUCGCUUGAACCCAGGAGGCAGAGGUUGCAGUGAGGAGAUCGCACCAUUGCAGUCCAGCCUGGGCAACAGAGUGAGACUCUGUCUCCA